Molecule: transfer RNA, 72 nt
Filed under: Ovis aries (sheep)
Lineage: Eukaryota; Metazoa; Chordata; Mammalia; Artiodactyla; Bovidae
Rfam family: tRNA
About the family: Transfer RNA (tRNA) molecules are approximately 80 nucleotides in length.
Source: Rfam by way of RNAcentral
UCUCUGGUAGCUCAGACGGUAAAGCGUCUGCCUACAAUGCAGGAGACCCAGGUUCAAUCCCUGGGUUGGGAA